AAUAGAUACCCGGGUAGUCCACGCCCUAAACGAUGAUUACUCGUCAUUGGCGAUACACAGUCAGUGACCAAGCGAAAGCGUUAAGUAAUCCACCUGGGAAGUACGACCGCAAGGUUGAAACUCAAAGGAAUUGACGGGGGUCCGCACAAGCGGUGAAGCAUGUGGUUUAAUUCGAUGAUACGCGAGGAACCUUACCUGGGCUAGAAUGUGAGUGACCGGUGGUGAAAGCCACUUUUCCGCAAGGACACGAAACAAGGUGCUGCAUGGCUGUCGUCAGCUCGUGCCGUGAGGUGUUGGGUUAAGUCCCGCAACGAGCGCAACCCCCAUCUUCAGUUGCCAUCAUUAAGUUGGGCACUCUGGGGAAACUGCCGCCGUAAGGCGCGAGGAAGGAGGGGACGAUGUCAAGUCAUCAUGGCCUUUAUGCCCAGGGCUACACACGUGCUACAAUGGUAAGGACAAAGGGCAGCUACCUGGCGACAGGAUGCGAAUCUCAAAAACCUUAUCUCAGUUCGGAUUGCAGG
This 521-nucleotide ribosomal RNA is filed under the name uncultured bacterium. RNAcentral's name for it is "bacterial SSU rRNA". It matches the Rfam family "Bacterial small subunit ribosomal RNA", at positions 777 to 1304 of the family's 1533-position model. The record is from RNAcentral.